RNAcentral lists this transfer RNA (83 nucleotides) under bacterium. RNAcentral's name for it is "tRNA-Leu". It matches the Rfam family "tRNA". Rfam says of the family: Transfer RNA (tRNA) molecules are approximately 80 nucleotides in length. The record is from RNAcentral.
GCCGGAGUGGCGGAAUGGUAUACGCAAACGACUCAAAAUCGUUCGGGGGCAACCCCUUGAGAGUUCAAGUCUCUCCUCCGGCA